This 513-nucleotide long non-coding RNA is filed under the name Monodelphis domestica (gray short-tailed opossum). Its description in RNAcentral is "lncRNA (ENSMODG00000047274.1)". Lineage: Eukaryota; Metazoa; Chordata; Mammalia; Didelphimorphia; Didelphidae. The record is from RNAcentral.
GCCAUUCAAAGCCUCUGGAUUUUUCCUCUGUCACAUAUAUUCAUUCACUACUUCAUUUUUAAGCCCAUAUAUUUUUGAGGAAGGUGAUAUAUACGGGAUUUUAAAGAAAGACUAGUAUCUGGUGUGAAGACUUUCUGAGAUCUUUUUGGAACUCUCCCUCCACUCUUCAUCUGAUUUUCAACUGUAAUUCCAAGAAAAUAUAGUAUUUGAGACAGCCACACUUUUGUAAAACUAUCUUGGCAGAUGGACUAAACCAGACUGGGGGAGCCAAUGGGCCCCAAACCCAUGGAGAAAAUACUUCAUAUCCCAGACUUUCAUCAUUAAUAUUGGAUACAGGGAAGAAGGAAAAAUGGCAGAUAAGAAGCAAGGAAUGUUCAAACCAUUAUGAAAAUCCUUUCCAACCAACCUUAAAAUGAUGCUUCAAAAGAAAUACUUGAGUGAACCAACAGGGGACUAGGUGCAGCAACUUUUCUGCAGAAUAAACUUGAAAGGUAGGCAGAAAUGGUCUGGAUC